Molecule: ribosomal RNA, 492 nt
Filed under: uncultured bacterium
Lineage: Bacteria
Description: partial 16S ribosomal RNA
Rfam family: Bacterial small subunit ribosomal RNA
Source: RNAcentral
AGUGAACGCUGGCGGUAGGCCUAACACAUGCAAGUCGAACGGCAGCACAGUAAGAGCUUGCUCUUACGGGUGGCGAGUGGCGGACGGGUGAGGAAUACAUCGGAAUCUACUUUUUCGUGGGGGAUAACGUAGGGAAACUUACGCUAAUACCGCAUACGACCUACGGGUGAAAGCAGGGGAUCUUCGGACCUUGCGCGAUUGAAUGAGCCGAUGUCGGAUUAGCUAGUUGGCGGGGUAAAGGCCCACCAAGGCGACGAUCCGUAGCUGGUCUGAGAGGAUGAUCAGCCACACUGGAACUGAGACACGGUCCAGACUCCUACGGGAGGCGGCAGUGGGGAAUAUUGGACAAUGGGCGCAAGCCUGAUCCAGCCAUACCGCGUGGGUGAAGAAGGCCUUCGGGUUGUAAAGCCCUUUUAUUGGGAAAGAAAAGCAGUAGGUUAAUACCCCGCUGUUCUGACGGUACCCAAAGAAUAAGCACCGGCUAACUUCGUG